Molecule: ribosomal RNA, 482 nt
Filed under: uncultured bacterium
Lineage: Bacteria
Description: partial 16S ribosomal RNA
Rfam family: Bacterial small subunit ribosomal RNA
Source: RNAcentral
AUUGAACGCUGGCGGCAUGCUUUACACAUGCAAGUCGAACGGCAGCGCGGGGCUACCUCGCGGCUACUGGCGCACGGGUGAGUAAUAUAUCUAAACGUACCCCGAAGUGGGGGGUAACGUAGCGGAAGAUACCGCAAUACCCCAUACGAUCUACGGGUGAAAGUAGGGGACCGCAAGGACUUAUGCUUUUGAGACGGCCGAAAUCUGAUUAGCUAGUUGGUGAGGUAAAGGCUCACCAAGGCGACGAUCAGUAGCUGGUCUGAGAGGACGACCAGCCACACUGGAACUGAGACACGGUCCAGACUCCUACGGGAGGCAGCAGUGGGGAAUUUUGGACAAUGGGCGCAAGCCUGAUCCAGCAAUGCCGCGUGAGUGAAGAAGGCCUUCGGGUUGUAAAGCUCUUUUGUCAGGGAAGAAACGGUAGAGGCUAAUAUCCUGUGGUAAUGACGGUACCUGAAGAAUAAGCACCGGCUAACUACGUG